This 505-nucleotide ribosomal RNA is filed under the name uncultured bacterium. RNAcentral's name for it is "partial 16S ribosomal RNA". It matches the Rfam family "Bacterial small subunit ribosomal RNA", at positions 28 to 507 of the family's 1533-position model. The record is from RNAcentral.
GACGAACGCUGGCGGCGUGCCUAAUACAUGCAAGUAGAACGCACAGUUUAUACCUUAGCUUGCUACACCAUAGACUGUGAGUUGCGAACGGGUGAGUAACGCGUAGGUAACCUGCCUGGUAGCGGGGGAUAACUAUUGGAAACGAUAGCUAAUACCGCAUAAUAUUAAUUAUUGCAUGAUAAUUAAUUGAAAGGUGCAAUUGCACCACUACCAGAUGGACCUGCGUUGUAUUAGCUAGUAGGUGAGGUAACGGCUCACCUAGGCGACGAUACAUAGCCGACCUGUGAGGGUGAGCGGCCAACCUGGGACUGAGACACGGCCCAGACUCCUACGGGAGGCAGCAGUAGGGAAUCGGCUGCAAUGGACGAAAGUCUGAGCGAGCAACGCGGAGUGAGUGAGGAGGGUUUUCGGAUCGUAAAGCUCUGUUUUAAGAGUAGAACGGGUGUGAGAGUGGAAAGUUCACACUGUGACGGUAUCUUACAAGAAAGGGACGGCUAACUACGUG